CUCAGGAUGAACGCUGGCGGCGUGCUUAACACAUGCAAGUCGAACGAUGAAGCCCAGCUUGCUGGGUGGAUUAGUGGCGAACGGGUGAGUAACACGUGAGUAACCUGCCCUUAACUCUGGGAUAAGCCUGGGAAACUGGGUCUAAUACCGGAUAGGAGCGUCCACCGCAUGGUGGGUGUUGGAAAGAUUUAUCGGUUUUGGAUGGACUCGCGGCCUAUCAGCUUGUUGGUGAGGUAAUGGCUCACCAAGGCGACGACGGGUAGCCGGCCUGAGAGGGUGACCGGCCACACUGGGACUGAGACACGGCCCAGACUCCUACGGGAGGCAGCAGUGGGGAAUAUUGCACAAUGGGCGCAAGCCUGAUGCAGCGACGCCGCGUGAGGGAUGACGGCCUUCGGGUUGUAAACCUCUUUCAGUAGGGAAGAAGCGAAAGUGACGGUACCUGCAGAAGAAGCACCGGCUAACUACGUGCCAGCAGCCGCGGUAAUACGUAGGGUGCGAGCGUUAUCCGGAAUUAUUGGGCGUAAAGAGCUCGUAGGCGGUUUGUCGCGUCUGUCGUGAAAGUCCGGGGCUUAACCCCGGAUCUGCGGUGGGUACGGGCAGACUAGAGUGCAGUAGGGGAGACUGGAAUUCCUGGUGUAGCGGUGGAAUGCGCAGAUAUCAGGAGGAACACCGAUGGCGAAGGCAGGUCUCUGGGCUGUAACUGACGCUGAGGAGCGAAAGCAUGGGGAGCGAACAGGAUUAGAUACCCUGGUAGUCCAUGCCGUAAACGUUGGGCACUAGGUGUGGGG
Molecule: ribosomal RNA, 791 nt
Filed under: Micrococcus sp.
Lineage: Bacteria; Bacillati; Actinomycetota; Actinomycetes; Micrococcales; Micrococcaceae
Description: bacterial SSU rRNA
Rfam family: Bacterial small subunit ribosomal RNA
Source: RNAcentral